RNAcentral lists this ribosomal RNA (515 nucleotides) under uncultured bacterium. RNAcentral describes it as "partial 16S ribosomal RNA". It matches the Rfam family "Bacterial small subunit ribosomal RNA", at positions 28 to 523 of the family's 1533-position model. The record is from RNAcentral.
GAUGAACGCUGGCGGCGUGCCUAAUACAUGCAAGUCGAGCGAAUGGAUUAAGAGCUUGCUCUUAUGAAGUUAGCGGCGGACGGGUGAGUAACACGUGGGUAACCUGCCCAUAAGACUGGGAUAACUCCGGGAAACCGGGGCUAAUACCGGAUAACAUUUUGAACCGCAUGGUUCGAAAUUGAAAGGCGGCUUCGGCUGUCACUUAUGGAUGGACCCGCGUCGCAUUAGCUAGUUGGUGAGGUAACGGCUCACCAAGGCAACGAUGCGUAGCCGACCUUGGAGGGUGAUCGGCCACACUGGGACUGAGACACGGCCCAGACUCCUACGGGAGGCAGCAGUAGGGAAUCUUCCGCAAUGGACGAAAGUCUGACGGAGCAACGCCGCGUGAGUGAUGAAGGCUUUCGGGUCGUAAAACUCUGUUGUUAGGGAAGAACAAGUGCUAGUUGAAUAAGCUGGCACCUUGACGGUACCUAACCAGAAAGCCACGGCUAACUGCGUGCCAGCCGCCGCGGUAA